UACGUAGGGUGCAAGCGUUGUCCGGAAUUAUUGGGCGUAAAGAGCUCGUAGGCGGUUUGUCGCGUCGGCUGUGAAAUCCCGAGGCUCAACCUCGGGUCUGCAGUCGAUACGGGCAAACUAGAGUAUUGCAGGGGAGACUGGAAUUCCUGGUGUAGCGGUGAGAUGCGCAGAUAUCAGGAGGAACACCGGUGGCGAAGGCGGGUCUCUGGGCAAUAACUGACGCUGAGGAGCGAAAGUGUGGGUAGCAAACAGG
This 253-nucleotide ribosomal RNA is filed under the name uncultured bacterium. Its description in RNAcentral is "partial 16S ribosomal RNA". It matches the Rfam family "Bacterial small subunit ribosomal RNA", at positions 524 to 776 of the family's 1533-position model. The record is from RNAcentral.